Dipodomys ordii (Ord's kangaroo rat) is the source of this 104-nucleotide non-coding RNA. The record is from Rfam. Lineage: Eukaryota; Metazoa; Chordata; Mammalia; Rodentia; Heteromyidae.
AUUCUUUUCUGGUUCAUAAGCAUGAUGAUUGGGUUCUCACACGCUUGUGUGGUAUGUGCCUCCCUCAAACCUUGUUACAACUUGGGCACAUUACCUGUCUGUCA